RNAcentral lists this ribosomal RNA (442 nucleotides) under uncultured bacterium. RNAcentral's name for it is "bacterial SSU rRNA". It matches the Rfam family "Bacterial small subunit ribosomal RNA", at positions 338 to 795 of the family's 1533-position model. The record is from RNAcentral.
CCUACGGGAGGCUGCAGUGAGGAAUCUUCCACAAUGGGGGCAACCCUGAUGGAGCAACGCCGCGUGCAGGAUGAAGGCCUUCGGGUUGUAAACUGCUUUUGUACGUGAAGAAUAUGACGGUAACUAACGAAUAAGGAUCGGCUAACUACGUGCCAGCAGCCGCGGUCAUACGUAGGAUCCGAGCGUUAUCCGGAGUGACUGGGCGUAAAGAGUUGCGUAGGUGGUCGGUAAAGCGAAUAGUGAAAUCUGGUGGCUCAACCAUACAGGCUAUUAUUCGAACUCACCGACUCGAGAGUGGUAGGGGUAGCUGGAAUUUCUCAAGUAGGGGUAAUAUCCGUAGAUAUGAGAAGGAACACCAAUGGCGUAGGCAGGCUACUGGACCAUUUCUGACACUGAGGCACGAAAGCGUGGGGAGCGAACCGGCUUAGAUACCCCAGUAGUC